AUGACCGACGAUGUGGACACGCACAUUCAUGAGAAAUUCGACUUGCAGAAACGUCUCGGAAAAGGUGCAUAUGGAAUUGUGUGGAAAGCAUACGACAAGAGGUCGAGGGAGACGGUGGCUCUGAAAAAGAUUUUCGACGCUUUCCGAAAUCCGACAGAUUCCCAGAGGACAUUUCGAGAAGUGAUGUUUCUUCAAGAAUUUGGAAAACAUCCAAAUGUUAUAAAGUUGUAUAACAUUUUCCGAGCAGAUAAUGAUAGGUGAGAGAUAUCUACUUAGCAUUUGAGUUCAUGGAAGCUGAUCUACAUAAUGUUAUAAAAAAAGGGUCGAUAUUGAAAGAUGUCCACAAACAGUAUAUCAUGUGCCAGUUGUUCCGAGCAAUUCGAUUUUUGCAUUCUGGGAAUGUGUUACACCGGGAUUUGAAGCCAUCGAAUGUUCUACUGGAUGCAGAUUGUCGUGUAAAACUUGCAGAUUUCGGAUUAGCGAGGAGUCUUUCGUCGCUUGAAGAUUACCCUGAAGGCCAAAAAAUGCCGGAUCUAACAGAAUACGUGGCAACAAGAUGGUACAGAAGUCCGGAAAUUCUCCUGGCAGCCAAAAGAUACACAAAAGGAGUGGAUAUGUGGAGUUUGGGAUGCAUUUUAGCUGAGAUGCUGAUUGGACGUGCUCUGUUUCCGGGAUCUUCGACUAUUAAUCAAAUCGAACGAAUAAUGAAUACAAUCGCAAAACCUUCAAGAGCUGAUAUUGCAAGUAUUGGAAGUCACUAUGCAGCUAGUGUGCUUGAGAAAAUGCCUCAACGGCCGAGAAAACCACUUGAUUUGAUUAUAACUCAAUCACAAACAGCUGCGAUUGAUAUGGUUCAGAGAUUGUUAAUAUUUGCUCCUCAAAAACGAUUAACCGUUGAACAAUGCUUGGUACAUCCAUAUGUGGUACAAUUUCAUAAUCCAUCAGAAGAACCAGUACUCAACUAUGAAGUUUAUCCACCACUUCCGGAUCAUAUUCAAUUGAGUAUUGACGAUUAUCGUGAUCGAUUGUAUGAGAUGAUUGAUGAAAAGAAGGCCAGUUUUAAGAGGAUACAACAUGAAAAGAUCCGACCUUACGGCGAAGAUAAGAGUCGUGCUCCGAUUGCUCAGGCUGAAUGCAGUGAUACUGAUUACGAUACGGCAAGAAGCUUACAAAGAACAACAAGCAUGGAUAAGAAUAAUAGUAGUUCGCAUGAUAGUAGUUCUGGAACUUUAAGAGAGCGAGCCGCUUCAGCUGAAAGUCGAACCUCAAAAGAUAGCAACGGAGAGAUGAGAAAUGGGAAUGGGAAUACUCCAAGUAGUAUCAAGCAACGUCGUCGUUCUGUCGAAAGAGCUCGAUUAUUUGCAAAUAUCAAGCCUUCCAAGAUCCUUCACCCACACAAAUUGAUCUCAAAUUAUUGA
RNAcentral lists this unclassified non-coding RNA (1418 nucleotides) under Caenorhabditis elegans. RNAcentral's name for it is "Non-coding transcript of protein-coding gene mapk-15". Lineage: Eukaryota; Metazoa; Nematoda; Chromadorea; Rhabditida; Rhabditidae. The record is from RNAcentral.